CGCCAGACUCCUACGGGAGGCAGCAGUGGGGAAUAUUGCACAAUGGGCGCAAGCCUGACCCAGCAACGCCGCGUGAAGGAAGAAGGCUUUCGGGUUGUAAACUUCUUUUCUCAGGGACGAAGCAAGUGACGGUACCUGAGGAAUAAGCCACGGCUAACUACGUGCCAGCAGCCGCGGUAAUACGUAGGUGGCAAGCGUUAUCCGGAUUUACUGGGUGUAAAGGGCGUGUAGGCGGGACUGCAAGUCAGAUGUGAAAACCAUGGGCUCAACCUAUGGCCUGCAUUUGAAACUGUAGUUCUUGAGUACUGGAGAGGCAGACGGAACUCCUAGUGUAGCGGUGAAAUGCGUAGAUAUUAGGAGGAACACCAGUGGCGAAGGCGGUCUGCUGGACAGCAACUGACGCUGAGGCGCGAAAGCGUGGGGAGCAAACAGGAUUAGAUACCCGAGUA
This 449-nucleotide ribosomal RNA is filed under the name uncultured bacterium. RNAcentral describes it as "bacterial SSU rRNA". It matches the Rfam family "Bacterial small subunit ribosomal RNA", at positions 329 to 792 of the family's 1533-position model. The record is from RNAcentral.